CUGUCGGCGUGCUUAACACAUGCAAGUCGAACGGAAAGGCCCUGCUUUUGUGGGGUGCUCGAGUGGCGAACGGGUGAGUAACACGUGAGUAACCUGCCCUUGACUUUGGGAUAACUUCAGGAAACUGGGGCUAAUACCGGAUAGGAGCUCCUGCUGCAUGGUGGGGGUUGGAAAGUUUCGGCGGUUGGGGAUGGACUCGCGGCUUAUCAGCUUGUUGGUGGGGUAGUGGCUUACCAAGGCUUUGACGGGUAGCCGGCCUGAGAGGGUGACCGGCCACAUUGGGACUGAGAUACGGCCCAGACUCCUACGGGAGGCAGCAGUGGGGAAUAUUGCACAAUGGGCGGAAGCCUGAUGCAGCAACGCCGCGUGCGGGAUGACGGCCUUCGGGUUGUAAACCGCUUUCGCCUGUGACGAAGCGUGAGUGACGGUAAUGGGUAAAGAAGCACCGGCUAACUACGUGCCAGCAGCCGCGGUGAUACGUAGGGUGCGAGCGUUGUCCGGAUUUAUUGGGCGUAAAGGGCUCGUAGGUGGUUGAUCGCGUCGGAAGUGUAAUCUUGGGGCUUAACCCUGAGCGUGCUUUCGAUACGGGUUGACUUGAGGAAGGUAGGGGAGAAUGGAAUUCCUGGUGGAGCGGUGGAAUGCGCAGAUAUCAGGAGGAACACCAGUGGCGAAGGCGGUUCUCUGGGCCUUUCCUGACGCUGAGGAGCGAAAGCGUGGGGAGCGAACAGGCUUAGAUACCCUGGUAGUCCACGCUGUAAACGGUGGGUACUAGGUGUGGGGUCCAUUCCACGGGUUCCGUGCCGUAGCUAACGCUUUAAGUACCCCGCCUGGGGAGUACGGCCGCAAGGCUAAAACUCAAAGGAAUUGACGGGGCCCCGCACAAGCGGCGGAGCAUGCGGAUUAAUUCGAUGCAACGCGUAGAACCUUACCUGGGUUUGACAUGGAUCGGGAGUGCUCAGAGAUGGGUGUGCCUCUUUUGGGGUCGGUUCACAGGUGGUGCAUGGCUGUCGUCAGCUCGUGUCGUGAGAUGUUGGGUUAAGUCCCGCAACGAGCGCAACCCUUGUUCACUGUUGCCAGCACGUUAUGGUGGGGACUCAGUGGAGACCGCCGGGGUCAACUCGGAGGAAGGUGGGGAUGACGUCAAGUCAUCAUGCCCCUUAUGUCCAGGGCUUCACGCAUGCUACAAUGGCUGGUACAGAGAGUGGCGAGCCUGUGAGGGUGAGCGAAUCUCGGAAAGCCGGUCUCAGUUCGGAUUGGGGUCUGCAACUCGACCUCAUGAAGUCGGAGUCGCUAGUAAUCGCAGAUCAGCAACGCUGCGGUGAAUACGUUCCCGGGGCUUGUACACACCGCCCGUCAAGUCAUGAAAGUUGGUAACACCCGAAGCCGGUGGCCUAACCGUUGUGGGGGAGCCGUCGAAGGUGGGACUGGUGAUU
This 1433-nucleotide ribosomal RNA is filed under the name uncultured organism. RNAcentral's name for it is "16S ribosomal RNA". It matches the Rfam family "Bacterial small subunit ribosomal RNA". The record is from RNAcentral.